This is a long non-coding RNA of Suricata suricatta (meerkat), 542 nucleotides long. RefSeq lists it as uncharacterized. The record is from RefSeq and is a predicted model, not a curated record. Lineage: Eukaryota; Metazoa; Chordata; Mammalia; Carnivora; Herpestidae. The transcript is spliced from 2 exons.
UGUGGCUUUGCAGGUGACCGGCUUUUGUAGCAGCCAGGGCUUCACAACGCUCCCCCUGAUGUCGCCACUGCACCCUCCACAACCACCAGGGGUCUCUCACUGGGUCUUGUCUGGGAGGCCCAAUCGCCUGGACGCCAUCCUGGAUCCCCUACCAGCUGGACCAGCGCCCAAGCGGGCCCUUUCUCCUGGCAGCACCACCCCCACCUCUCCAUGGCAAAGGCUUCAUUUCACAGACCCAACAGGAAGGGACGCACCUUGCAGGUGGAUUCCACUGUGGCUGUUACUUUACUCACCCCGCGCGAGGAAGGAAGGUUUCCUCCUCCCCCAGCAACAGUCCAGCCAAUGAGCGACCAUCAUAAUCAAGACCAUACAGACAGCCACAGCCCAGCCAAUGAGAGACUGCCACAGCCCAGCCAAAGGGAGAUCAUCACACCUCAGCCAAAAUGAGCCUCUUACUGCGCCCUGGCUCUAGUUUUGUCCUGAGUCGCUCCUCCUGUCUUGGCCCGUGGUGUUCCCGAAUAAAGCCAGUUUUGCCUGGGAAA